GCCUCUGUAGCUCAGUGGAGUAGAGCACCGGUUUACGGCACCGGGUGUCGGGAGUUCGAAUCUCUCCAGGGGUAC
RNAcentral lists this transfer RNA (75 nucleotides) under Virgisporangium aliadipatigenens. Its description in RNAcentral is "tRNA-Arg". It matches the Rfam family "tRNA". From Rfam's summary of the family: Transfer RNA (tRNA) molecules are approximately 80 nucleotides in length. Their secondary structure includes four short double-helical elements and three loops (D, anti-codon, and T loops). The record is from RNAcentral. Lineage: Bacteria; Bacillati; Actinomycetota; Actinomycetes; Micromonosporales; Micromonosporaceae.